UCACAAAUCACAGAGGUUCAACAUUCCUUUUGUGCUCGGCCAAAAAAAAGUCACAGGAUAGUCCGAAAAUUAACACGUUUCCCAUUUCUCUCGACAAUGGCAGGCGAGCGGUUUAGGCGGACCCGGGCCCGGGAGUCAAAAAAGACAGGAAACAGCCCAAAUGGAAGACACAUCAACGGACGACUUUCCAAAUCUGUUUUGCAGAUCUCGGCGAACAAAAUCCGAAACCUUGCUCGAGGGGCAAGGCACUUGCUUUCAGAAAUAUGCAAAUGUCACUCCGCUGGAUGGCGAAGCGCACUCGAUCUUCACUUGACAGCAUUCGGUGCCACAUAAUAUGUACUAGUGGAAGGAAAUUGCUUCAUUUACAUCAGAAAGACGCGAGGAUUGGCUUUGCGUAAUUGCUUCAUUUCGGAAUGGGAAGACGACAGCAAUGACGACGAGACGAGGCCUCGUUCUGUGUCUGUUCACCUCAGCCGAUGAACCUGUCAUUCCCUUCGGAAAAGUAUACUUACGAAUCGCACCACAUUGCUAACCGG
Molecule: long non-coding RNA, 536 nt
Organism: Armigeres subalbatus
Lineage: Eukaryota; Metazoa; Arthropoda; Insecta; Diptera; Culicidae
Exons: 3
Source: RefSeq, a predicted model, not a curated record